RNAcentral lists this ribosomal RNA (278 nucleotides) under uncultured bacterium. Its description in RNAcentral is "partial 16S ribosomal RNA". It matches the Rfam family "Bacterial small subunit ribosomal RNA", at positions 73 to 353 of the family's 1533-position model. The record is from RNAcentral.
CUUGCUUCUUUGCUGGCGACCGGCGCACGGGUGAGUAACACGUAUCCAACCUGCCCUUUACUCGGGGAUAGCCUUUCGAAAGAAAGAUUAAUACCCGAUAGCAUAAUGAUUCCGCAUGGUUUCAUUAUUAAAGGAUUCCGGUAAAGGAUGGGGAUGCGUUCCAUUAGGUUGUUGGUGAGGUAACGGCCCACCAAGCCUUCGAUGGAUAGGGGUUCUGAGAGGAAGGUCCCCCACAUUGGAACUGAGACACGGUCCAAACUCCUACGGGAGGCAGCAUG